CCGGGGCGCGCCCCGGGCGGGGCGGGGGCACGGGGGGAACGCGAAGAACCUUACCUACUCUUGACAUCCAGAGAACUUUCCAGAGAUGGAUUGGUGCCUUCGGGAACUCUGAGACAGGUGCUGCAUGGCUGUCGUCAGCUCGUGUUGUGAAAUGUUGGGUUAAGUCCCGCAACGAGCGCAACCCUUAUCCUUUGUUGCCAGCGAUUCGGUCGGGAACUCAAAGGAGACUGCCGGUGAUAAACCGGAGGAAGGUGGGGAUGACGUCAAGUCAUCAUGGCCCUUACGAGUAGGGCUACACACGUGCUACAAUGGCGCAUACAAAGAGAAGCGACCUCGCGAGAGCAAGCGGACCUCACAAAGUGCGUCGUAGUCCGGAUCGGAGUCUGCAACUCGACUCCGUGAAGUCGGAAUCGCUAGUAAUCGUGGAUCAGAAUGCCACGGUGAAUACGUUCCCGGGUCUUGUACACACCGA
Molecule: ribosomal RNA, 472 nt
Filed under: uncultured bacterium
Lineage: Bacteria
Description: bacterial SSU rRNA
Rfam family: Bacterial small subunit ribosomal RNA
Source: RNAcentral